RNAcentral lists this ribosomal RNA (372 nucleotides) under uncultured organism. RNAcentral's name for it is "bacterial SSU rRNA". It matches the Rfam family "Bacterial small subunit ribosomal RNA", at positions 526 to 896 of the family's 1533-position model. The record is from RNAcentral.
CGGAGGGUGCGAGCGUUGUCCGGAAUCAUUGGGCGUAAAGGGCGCGUAGGUGGCGGCUUAAGCGUGCGGUGAAAGCUCGGGGCUCAACCCCGAGUCGGCCGUGCGAACUGAGUCGCUUGAGCACUGUAGAGGCAGGCGGAAUUCCGGGUGUAGCGGUGGAAUGCGUAGAGAUCCGGAAGAACACCGGUGGCGAAGGCGGCCUGCUGGGCAGUAGCUGACACUGAGGCGCGACAGCGUGGGGAGCAAACAGGAUUAGAUACCCUGGUAGUCCACGCCGUAAACGAUGGGCACUUGGCGCUUGGGGGAGCGACCCCCCGAGGGCCGGCGCUAACGCAUUAAGUGCCCCGCCUGGGGAGUACGGCCGCAAGGCUG